Peromyscus eremicus (cactus mouse) is the source of this 469-nucleotide long non-coding RNA. RefSeq lists it as uncharacterized. The record is from RefSeq and is a predicted model, not a curated record. NCBI's taxonomy places the organism in Eukaryota, Metazoa, Chordata, Mammalia, Rodentia, Cricetidae. The transcript is spliced from 3 exons.
AGAUUCUGAAUGCUAUCCCAUCAUGCCUGUGUGCCUGUCUGCACUGUGCCUAGCUGCAAGGGAUGCUAGAAAGGCAGACCAUAAGCAAUCCAGAACUAAGGUUUCAGUGACUGUGGAAGAUGGAACAAGGACAACUAACAAUGUUUGACACUCUCAUGACACAGCAUAGGUGACCGGCUGCAGACAUAUUCAGUAAAGGACAGAGCAUCAGGUUUUCUUAGUGUGCCUUACACAAUGCAGCAUCACUUGAGUGGUGGAAGACAAAUGGACCACAUCUCUUACCUAAAAGGUUCCAGGGAUUUCCCAGACCUGCUUCUGUAUUACAAGUCAAGCUGCAUUGGGAGCAUUAUGAAAUAAAAUAUGGGGAGGUGUGAGGCACUAACGCAUCCCUGUAUAAAUGAACAUUCAUGACAUGAGCGUGGCCAUGUCAAGGACUCUAAUGCCUCAGACUCAUGAGAAUGGUAAGGCU